GGCGCACGGGUGAGUAACGCGUGGGAACCUACCUUCCAGUUCGGGAUAACAGUUGGAAACGACUGCUAAUACCGUAUACGCCCUCCGGGGGAAAGGUCAGCCGCUGAUAGAGGGGCCCGCGUCUGAUUAGCUUGUUGGUAGGGUAAAAGCCUACCAAGGCUACGAUCAGUAGCUGGUCUGAGAGGAUGAUCAGCCACACUGGGACUGAGACACGGCCCAGACUCCUACGGGAGGCAGCAGUCGGGAAUAUUGGACAAUGGAGGAAACUCUGAUCCAGCAAUGCCGCGUGUGUGAUGAAGGCCUUAGGGUUGUAAAGCACUUUCAACGGUGAAGAUGAUGACGGUAGCCGUAGAAGAAGCCCCGGCUAACUUCGUGCCAGCAGCCGCGGUAAUACGAAGGGGGCGAGCGUUGUUCGGAAUUAUUGGGCGUAAAGGGCGCGCAGGCGGUUUGGAUAGUUAGACGUGAAAUCCCUGGGCUUAACCUAGGAACUGCGUUUAAUACUGCCAAACUAGAGAACUAGAGAGGAUAGCGGAACUCCCAGUGUAGAGGUGAAAUUCGUAGAUAUUGGGAAGAACAUCAGUGGCGAAAGCGGCUGUCUGGCUAGUUUCUGACGCUGAGGCGCGAAAGCGUGGGGGGCAAACAGGAUUAGAUACCCUGGUAGUCCACGCCGUAAACGAUGUGUGCUAGAUGUUGGAAGGUUACCUUGCAGUGUCGCAGCUAACGCGUUAAGCACAC
RNAcentral lists this ribosomal RNA (735 nucleotides) under uncultured marine bacterium. Its description in RNAcentral is "bacterial SSU rRNA". It matches the Rfam family "Bacterial small subunit ribosomal RNA", at positions 97 to 869 of the family's 1533-position model. The record is from RNAcentral.